AAACGAAAAUUUAUUCAAGCAUGGGACAAAUUUGUGAUCGAACCCUAGCAAGGCAUCUGCGGAAGGCGUCCCUCUUUCUUUUCCGAAGAAGAACAGAAGAAGCAGAAGAAGGAGAAGCAGCAGCUUGGCAUAGAUGAUGAUAGUCAGGAGACCAGCCUCCUCACCGCUCCUCCGUACGGCUCUCUUCGACCGAAUCCGGCAUCUCCCUUUCUCUUCCGAGCCGGCCACGGAGACCCAGUCUCAGAAGCUCGAGCGCAUUGCCGACGAGCUCAUCAGCCUCACCAAGCUCGAGCGCUACGACUACACCAUCCUCUUCCGCCACAAACUAGGGUUCCAGAAAUACGGUCCUGUCGGCGCCGGCCUAUCAACUUCUCUCUCAUCUGCCAGCGCGGGCUCUGCGGCGUCGCCGGAGGCGAAGCCCGCCGACAAGACCGCCUUCGACAUCAAGCUCGAGAAGUUCGACGCAGCGGCGAAGAUCAAGAUCAUCAAGGAGGUGAGAUCAUUCACGGAUUUGGGGCUCAAGGAGGCCAAGGAUCUGGUGGAGAAGGCACCUGUCGUGCUUAAGAAGGGAGUGACGAAGGAGGAAGCGGAGCCGAUCGUUGCGAAGCUCAAGGAGUUGGGAGCCGCCGUCAUCCUAGAGUGAAGUUGAUUGGGCUUUUGAGUACCAUCGGGAAUUGGAUUGGGGUGCCCGAUUAUAGUGCCAGAGGCGUUUCAGAAGUAACCGGUAGCUACUUCGAUGAAUGUGGUGUUCACAGAUUCAACACUGUGGAGAAACGGCAAGGAAUUUUAAAACAACCACUAUCUAGCCUUGGUAAUAUGAAUAUUUCGUAUUCCUGAGGUGUUGUUGGGGGAUCCACUUCCCAGUACCACAAAGAAAGCCAAACCCUUAUGUUUUUUAAUACUUGUGAGGUGUUGUUGGAGGAUCAACUUCCUAGUACCACGAAGAAAGCAAACCCCUUCUGUUUUUCACCUCUUCCAGGAUGAUGUUCUGAUGUGCUCCUGUAUUUAUCCCUACACUUCCAGGGUGAAAGGAAAGGAAUCUUGAAAUAAGUAACUUUUAGGAUACCAUAAUGAAGGGCAUCCGUGAUGCUCUCAAAGAUUAAUUCCUUUAUUUUCAAUGUUCUCUCGAUUAACAGUUUAGGCCACCUGAGCCUGUUGGUAGACUUCAGCUUUUUCAGAAUAGUGUUUUGAUAUUUUCCUGUAACUUAUUCCUGCACUGCUUCUGAAAGAAAGAAGAAUCCCCAAAUGAAUUACCAUUGAUGGGA
Nymphaea colorata (pocket water lily) is the source of this 1265-nucleotide RNA transcript. RefSeq lists it as uncharacterized. NCBI's taxonomy places the organism in Eukaryota, Viridiplantae, Streptophyta, Magnoliopsida, Nymphaeales, Nymphaeaceae. The transcript has 4 exons. The record is from RefSeq and is a predicted model, not a curated record.